This 1362-nucleotide ribosomal RNA is filed under the name uncultured bacterium. RNAcentral's name for it is "16S ribosomal RNA". It matches the Rfam family "Bacterial small subunit ribosomal RNA", at positions 28 to 1381 of the family's 1533-position model. The record is from RNAcentral.
GAUGAACGCUAGCGACAGGCUUAACACAUGCAAGUCGAGGGGCAGCAGGGGAGUAGCAAUACUCCCGCUGGCGACCGGCGCACGGGUGAGUAACACGUAUGCAACCUGCCCUUGUCAGGGGGAUAAGCGGAAGAAAUUCCGUCUAAUACCGCAUAACGCUGCGGGGAGACAUCUCCCUGCAGCCAAAGAUUUAUCGGACAAGGAUGGGCAUGCGGCGCAUUAGCUUGUUGGCGGGGUAACGGCCCACCAAGGCGACGAUGCGUAGGGGUUCUGAGAGGAAGGUCCCCCACACUGGUACUGAGACACGGACCAGACUCCUACGGGAGGCAGCAGUGAGGAAUAUUGGUCAAUGGCCGGGAGGCUGAACCAGCCAAGUCGCGUGAGGGAAGACGGUCCUAUGGAUUGUAAACCUCUUUUGUCAGGGAGCAAAAACUGCCACGCGUGGCAGGAUGAGAGUACCUGAAGAAAAAGCAUCGGCUAACUCCGUGCCAGCAGCCGCGGUAAUACGGAGGAUGCGAGCGUUAUCCGGAUUUAUUGGGUUUAAAGGGUGCGUAGGCGGACAGUUAAGUCAGCGGUAAAAUUGAGAGGCUCAACCUCUUCCCGCCGUUGAAACUGAUUGUCUUGAGUGGGCGAGAAGUAUGCGGAAUGCGUGGUGUAGCGGUGAAAUGCAUAGAUAUCACGCAGAACUCCGAUUGCGAAGGCAGCAUACCGGCGCCCAACUGACGCUGAAGCACGAAAGCGUGGGUAUCGAACAGGAUUAGAUACCCUGGUAGUCCACGCAGUAAACGAUGAAUACUAAUUGUUCGGGUCGAGUGAGAUCUGAGUGAUACAGCGAAAGCGUUAAGUAUUCCACCUGGGGAGUACGCCGGCAACGGUGAAACUCAAAGGAAUUGACGGGGGCCCGCACAAGCGGAGGAACAUGUGGUUUAAUUCGAUGAUACGCGAGGAACCUUACCCGGGCUCAAACGACACAGGAAUGAUCUGAGAAAUCAGGCAGUCCUUCGGGACCUGUGUCGAGGUGCUGCAUGGUUGUCGUCAGCUCGUGCCGUGAGGUGUCGGCUUAAGUGCCAUAACGAGCGCAACCCCCAUCGACAGUUGCCAGUAGGUCAAGCUGGGCACUCUGUCGAGACUGCCGGCGCAAGCUGUGAGGAAGGCGGGGAUGACGUCAAAUCAGCACGGCCCUUACGUCCGGGGCGACACACGUGUUACAAUGGCAGGUACAGCGGGAAGCCACCUGGCGACAGGGAGCGGAACCCGAAAGCCUGUCUCAGUUCGGAUUGGAGUCUGCAACUCGACUCCAUGAAGCUGGAUUCGCUAGUAAUCGCGCAUCAGCCACGGCGCGGUGAAUACGUUCCCGGGCCU